AUGGCCAAGGGAAAGGGGAAGGCUGAUGGUGAUGGGUGCUCUCGUGAGAGGACCAUUUCCUGGGCUGAUGAUCAGACCAAGUUUAUGCUGGAUUGGUGCAUUGAAUACAUGAAGGAACAACAUGCAGGAUUUAGGUUCAGGAAGCAUCAUCUCAUGAAGUGUGCUGAUGCUUUAAAUAGGAAAUUUGCUAUGGGGGUUACAAUUGCUCAAGUUGAUCGACACUUCAGACACUACAAAGAAAAUUGGAAGUACAUUGCUGCAGCAAUUAGCAAGAGUGGCAACGUUUUCGAUGAUAUUAGAUGUGUGAUAACCAUUUCUGAGUCUGAAAAGUCUUGUCUCAAUGAUAGAGCAAGGCGCUUGCUUUCUAAGCCCAUCAAGUUCUACUAUGAGAUGCAAGAGCUAUUCACAGGCACUAGUGCUGAUGGUUCUUUGGCCAUGGACCAGCAUACAUGCACAAUUGAUUCUGAUGACUCGGAUAAUGAUGAAGGGUUGUAUGACCUUAACUGCUAUCCACAAUAUGAGGGCCCUCUUGAGGAGGAUUCUGACACUUUGCCAACAACAUAUGGUCCUAAAAGACCUCCAGUUCAUGUAGGUGCUGAUAAUUCCUCAUCUAGCACUAGCUGA
RNAcentral lists this ribosomal RNA (624 nucleotides) under Triticum aestivum (bread wheat). RNAcentral describes it as "partial small subunit ribosomal RNA". The record is from RNAcentral. Lineage: Eukaryota; Viridiplantae; Streptophyta; Magnoliopsida; Poales; Poaceae.